CCGAGGAAAGCGCUGGCAGGGAUACGAGCGCUGCAGGUGGUGCCGUGAGGUCUGUGCUCUCCUUGCUGUUGGGCAUGAGUUACCGCCCGUGAAUCAAACCUGCCCCUCGGUCACCGGCAGUCAGCACGCACCUCGGACCGCAGACAGGCCCGCUUCUCACCUGACUAAGAUUUGGACCUGAAACCUGCAGGGGCUUGCCAGACGCUUGACUUUGUUUUCAGUGGAACUAUUCAGAGUGUAUUACGUGAAGCACACACAACAAUCCAAGAGACUUGAGUCAGGAAGUCUUAAGGCACUGAAGACGUAAGAAGAAGUUAAAUUGCCUGUGAUCAAAUCAAUUAUACUUCAGAUCGGACUGUGGCAGGGCUUUUUGGUUCUCAACCAGAUGGAACUGGACUUCUUGUGAAGGAGCUCAGCAGAGAAGCAGCAGCAAUUCUAACUCCCUAAUUCUUGAGGCAGGACAGAACUUGUUAGAGAAGUACAGCCUGUCUCCUCUCCAGGAAACCCCUCCUUGCUUCCUCUCUUGAUGCCGAGAUAAAAAACUGCUGGCAAAGAAGCAGAGCCAAACAAGGGUUUGGCAUAGAAAAUGGCUCUCACAGCACUGCCAGAAGAAGGGAAUGCUGGAAAGAAGAUUCCUGGAGAGGGUUUAACUUCACUGUGCACCAUGCAAGCAGCACAACGUGAGGCUGAAGAUGAACAGAUCCUGUCUCAAAACUGCUAGGAGAUCGUAGAUGGAGUAACAUAGAAAGCCUAAUGCUUGAAUUUAUCACUACAAAUGGAGUAAAAUGUUUUUAAUGUAUUUGCAAGUGGCAAGCAGUUCAGUGGAGCCUCAGUAUUAAGCAUCAUUUAUGCCUGCUUUCUGGCCUGUUACAGUUUCAGUGUAAGCAAAAUUCAAGUGUACGUUGUCUCCUUCACACAGAUGCAGUUAAAAAUUCUAGCAUGAAGGUUGUUGAUGCUAGUAAAAACUGUUUGCCUAAGGACAAACUUCAGAGGAAUGCGAAUUUUCCGGUAUCUCCUGAUUCUUCUCAGGCUGACUGUCAGAGAAAUCACUGUACUUGAGGUAGUUCCGUGCUUCUCUCACCAAACCGUAAGAAUUAAAAAUUUAAAAAAAAAAAAAAAAAAUUAAAAAAGUAGAAUUCGGAAUGAGCAUGAAAUAUUUAUUUUCAGCUAUCACAAGUUUUUGUUGGAUUUCUGGAAAACAUUUGGGGUUUAUCUGUCUUCAAGUUCAAGCCCUUGGUUUCCUCCAGAUUUGUGGAUGCUACCAUUAAUACUUAGUCAUAGCACAGAACAGCCCUUUGCUUACUUCUGUUGGGUUUGGGGUGUUUUGCCUGCUGCAAGUGAAAACAUAAAAAUAUUAAGAACCAGAAAUGAAUGUGGAAAAACCUUUGAAAAUAAACUAACUCCAGUGCUUCAAAUUGUUAGA
This is a long non-coding RNA of Hirundo rustica (Barn swallow), 1423 nucleotides long. RefSeq lists it as uncharacterized. The transcript is spliced from 5 exons. NCBI's taxonomy places the organism in Eukaryota, Metazoa, Chordata, Aves, Passeriformes, Hirundinidae. The record is from RefSeq and is a predicted model, not a curated record.